Long non-coding RNA from Xenopus tropicalis (tropical clawed frog), 890 nucleotides. RefSeq lists it as uncharacterized. The transcript has 4 exons. NCBI's taxonomy places the organism in Eukaryota, Metazoa, Chordata, Amphibia, Anura, Pipidae. The record is from RefSeq and is a predicted model, not a curated record.
UGCUGUCAGAGUGUGGCCCCGCCUCCCUAGUGAUGUCCCGCCUCCCUAGUGAUGUCCCGCCUGAUGCUCAGGGUUAGCUGAGGGACUGGCGCCAAAUCCCGGGGCAAUGGGGCUGUUUGAUGGGAUAAAGCUUAUUGUUCAUUUCUUAGAUUUACUGCAUGUGAAUGACUUGACAUUCAGUUCCCUGGAAAAGUCUGGGGCAGCUCCUGGGGACCCCAGAAAUUACCAACUCCACAAAAUCAUCUAAACAUUUUUAUGCCAAACAGCUUUACUGGGCCUUGUUGACACCAGGCCCCCUGAACAGCCACCUGAGGAGCUGUCUGCAUAUGAGCAAUGCCGAUUCCAGGCUGAAAGUGAGCAUCCUCCCCCCGAACUAGUCCGGGCACAGAUUCCACAUCAUGUUUGGAGGCAUUUUCUGCUGCUGAGCUGCUCAAUGAUUUCUGUAGAACCACCCUUUAGGCCAAAUCCAAUGCAGGAUGUCCCGCUUUGCCUCAUUUCCUGAUUACUUGGUCAUUCAAAUGAAGAAGUUCACUUUUAUCCUUUACUGGGUACCCAAGAGUAAGAGGGGCAAUGGUGCCCCAAAGAAAUGGUGGUAAAACCAAAAUGUAUCAUGCAAGGGAUAGUUACUUUAGCAAAACUUUUGACAGAGAUUAGAGAGCUUUGAUUUUCCACAUGACAUUUACCUUAAAUUUCACCCGAACUGGUUCCAGGUCGCUUUCAAGCCCCACAGUUUGGGAGCCAUUGGCUUAUACAAAUCAAGGCAGUGUGGAAACCUUCCAACCAACAUCUAAACUAGGACCCCUUAAAUGUAGAGAACAUAGAAUAUGGAUGUUGUUCUCAGUGCCCCCAAACCAGGUAGUUAUUUUUGAAUUCCUGACUUGGGGGCAAGU